CAGAUACAGAUACUGCCUUUAAAGUUGAURUGGCAAAUCAGUGCAGAGGCUGCCUGACCAGAUCCAAAAGAAGGAUACUGAAGAAGAUGGUGCCUCUGACACAUAGCAUUUAAUGUAUGCAGGUACCUGGUAUCCAGGUGUUAGUGUGAGUUGGGAAGAUAGAUGUCUGCAGCACCAAAUCAGUGGGAAUCUGUACUAAAAGAGAAAAAAUGUUAUGGAGCCAUGGGAUUCCAUCAAGGGGAUACUUAGUAAAAGGCUGUUGCAGACCAAAAAAUAUUUCUGUUAUGUGCAGGUGUAAAGUUCCAUCAUGGCUAAUAUCUCCAAGUCUUCAGCAGCAAUAACAMUACAUCAGUCUGGUAAUUGUCAAGAAAAUGCACUUACAUGUCAGAUUURAAUGUUAAAGGAAAACACAUGGAAGCCACCUGAAACUGUGGUUGCAGAGAAAGAAGAUUCUUUCAAAUCCUGUUCCUCAGUAUCUUUUUAUAAAUAUUCAUUGCAAUUUUUUUUAGAUUAAUGCCAAAAGGCUUUGCUGUAUCAGUCAGUAAUAAAGUGGAGGGACUGGGUAAGCUAGGGGUAGAUUCUGUGUAGAGGUUCAGUGAGUGCCUCUGCACGUGUGUGUAUCCAUAUGUGGUCUUUGGUGAAGAAGUAAUGUAGGACUGAACCUCUUUGACUGGAUUAUGUUGUGUCUUGCCCUUUUCAUCAUUAUUAUAUUAUUAGCUGCUGUUUAUUUUCAUAACUGUGCUUUUACUACAACUGUAAAAAAAAAAAAAAAAAAAAAAAAAAAAAAAAAAAAAAAAAAAAGCCUUCUUUGAAGUUCGAGAUUAUAUUGUGCUGGGAAUAUUACUUAGAAAUUGGCUAAAAUACAGUAAUGGAGGGAGGGAGCUGAGCAUGGGAAUUUUAAGGCUGAUGAAGCAAAAGCCAUAGAAGUUCUGAAGCCCUGGUCCUGUGACCUUUAAUAACAUAGCUUUGCUUCUCUUCCACUCCACAAACAGCAAUGCUGAUUUACUUGCAUGAAUAAGAUUUAAAGGAUCAAAACCAGACCUUGACACUGGUGGAUUUAUUGGCAUAGUUUGGUCUAGUCUACUGUAAGAUCUAAUUUUGCUCUGAUUCAGAAGAGAAAAAUUAGAAGAGCAAACUCCCUACAUAGUCACUGGAGAGAGGUAAGUGCUUCCAGGGGGGCCACUUAGGCAGUGUCAGUAAAAUGGCUAAAGCAGACAGCACAGAUAACGUGCUUCUGAAAUAUAACCGUACCAUGUGGUUCUUGGAAAGCGAGACAGAGACUUGGGUGCAUGUUAAGAUUAGUCAAAGAAAGAUAAACUUAUGGUGGAGUUCUUGCUACUUUCAUUUGGAAUGUUAAUAGCUCAAAUUAAACAGUGUAGAGUACUCCAAAUACCAGAGCAAGGAAAAAGUUUACAGCAAUGAUAUCAACAUUUGGAGGGUCCAUAUUUUUUCAAGGUCUGCUCACUUCCCAUGACUUUCAACAUAUUUGUACACUGCCAAGUAUAACUCAGGGUGCAGAUAUUAUGUAGGCCUGAUUUAACUUGAGUGCCUGGUAUAAUUACUUCGCCAGUGUUACCACAUGAAACCAAAACAGAAUAAAACCAAAUAAUGUUGCUUUCUAUUGUAAAAGUAUAUUUUGUUCCCAUGCAUGAAACAAACUUCCAGAUUUGCAUGCUUAGAAGGAGGCCAAGGAGUGAACCAGCAGAGGAAAAUUCUCCCUAUGUACAAGAAUGAAGUGAUUUUCUAAGGUCAAUGUAAAGAUGUAAGUAACACCUGCUAAAAUUAUGCCUUCUCUAGGCAAACAAGGUAAGUGURUUCUCAAAACCUGACAACCUUGUCUAUUAUACUCCUGAAUUCAGAUGUUACAUGCAGCUUUCACAUUAGAAAUGUGGCAUGGAAUUAAACAGCAUCUCAUUAAGCAGAAAGMUGAAGUUUUGGUCUUACCUUUCUGCAAACAGAACUUAUCAAGGACCAGGCUGCCGGACUGGAAAAUGGCAAAGCAACAGACAGAAAAGAAAAGACAGAACAGAAAAGAAGCUGUGUCCAUCCAGCUCCCCAGUCUGCCUCUUGCUGGAUACAAUUUCUUGGUCAAGCCAGCCUUGACACUUAUCUCAGUCCACAURCAAAGUGAGGGACACCCUGUGUUUAAAACACUGCAAGGACUCGUAAAUGGAACUGAACAUGGGCAUGUUUGAGAGAAGGAAGUCUAUUUCUAAACCACUACUGUGAGAUUCUCUGUCUUGGUACCUUGGCAGCCCUGCUUAUGUUACUGCUUGUGAGCACUGGUUUUGGACCAGUCCCUUGCUUAAACGGAAAGCACAGCAACAUGCUGAGCUCCCUGUGGUCUCCAUGGUCUUGAAAGUAAAAGCAAAUYAUUUGUAAUAUUGGUACAUGCCCACAAAAUAAUUGAAGUUGUAUCCUAAAGACUUUCUGUCUUGGAUGAACCCUAGCUGUCCUGGGCAUCUACCACUCCAAAAGCAAACCUUUGGCCCCUUUAUAUUUUUACAAUUAUAUGUAUGUUAUAAAAAAGAAGGAAGAAUGUGGGAAAGGGGAAAAAAAAAGCUUAAAAAUAAGCAUCCUUACUGUGGGAACAUGGUGGGGGAAGAACRGUAAAUGCAGCAGCUCUCCUUCACAGCGGAAUGGAAUUCUGUGCAAGGUUCGGUUGCUUACAUGCCAACCAUGUUCAGAAWGGCACUGUUGCCUAAGCACCUGCCUGACUUACACUAAAGCAAACAGGCARCAAAUAGGUUUCUCUUAGAAACACUAAAAAUGGCCACAGUUUGUGCUUACUAGGUCCAAAGCCAACAGGAUACCAGGCCAAGCAAAUACACCUCUUGUUUGGCAAGUUUGGGUGCUGGCUGUUUGCURGUGAGAGUACAUAAAUGCUACAUAUCCUAUCUAAUUUGAAACAUCUGUGGAAAGAAGUAUCACAUGAAUGAUAAAUACAGAAUCAAAGGUUCUCAUUGCCAAUUAAAAAAAAUGCAAGACAAAAAGGGCUCAUUUUUGCAGCUUUUCCAUUGUGGUCCUUUAGUAAAUGCUAAAAUAAAAAUAAAACAAAAAGGAACCAACAUUAAAAUAUCUUUUAUGCGAAAAAGGUUUGAUCCAAUUGCUCUUGAAAUCAAUAGGAAUUAACUUUGGAGAGCUUUAUACUGAAUGCCUAAGGACAUUCAUCUUUYAAGAAAUUAGCUCCCUCAUUGAACAUAUUUGAAGAAUUUAGGCUACAGUAAAGGGCAUUUAAAUUACAGAGCUUUUGGCUAAUGUGUGAACAGCCAUAGGGUUACAGCAGCCAUAGCCCCAAGCAAAUCACAGAUUAAAAGAAAAUACAAGCAAGAACAGCGAUGGGCUCUGCAUUAGCUUGAGUAUCUGUGUUUACCAUCCUCUUAUCUUUUGAAUUUUUUUUUCCUGAACCCCUGUAUGUUCUAAAUGAAAUAAAUGUCCUUGGGACAGUAUGUGAAGGUGACCAAGGCUUCUUCAUAAGUGUUUGUGAGACACAAGACAUUACUGCCCUGASAGUUUUCUCAUGCACAUAGAGCAGGAAGAGUCAAAGCCCAAGUCUUGUCAGACACAGAGAAAGGAGCAAGGGAUAGGUCACUCCUGSCAGAAGCUCUUGUGAUUCAAGAUAAAUACAGAGGAUUAAUAAAUAUCAAACAAGCUAACAUGGUCUUACCAGUCUGCUUCAGUAAAGAGGAACUGGAGUGGCACUGCCAACCAACAUGGGMAUGUGUGAGGAAAUGAGAGGUUAGACAAGUUAAGGAAGGGAAGGCAUGAACACGAGAAGGACCUGUAGAACAGAAGGUGAAAAAAGAUUUCCAUCAGAAGACUGGUACCACCAACUAAUUAAUCCAAAUGUUUUAUGGUUCAUGCAUCAGCCUCAUUUUAUUUUGYGAGUAAUUUUUAGUGACUUUGGAGGAAGACAGCAGAAGAAUUGARCAAUCCAUUCGUUCCCAUAAACUAAGGAUUAAUGGAAGAGAUGUCUGUUGUUCGAGUUCCAAAUGAUAUUAAAUAUUCUUUUAUUUCUCCUUAUCCUCUUCCCAUAAAGCCACAAGCCUAAAAUUGGCAGAGCACAAAUAUUAGCAAAGCCCCUACACAAAUGUUGCAUAGAAAGCUUUCUGUGAAGUGUUCUGUGAAGCCAGAAACACAGUUAAAACUUGAAAACCCUCUCAAGAAAAAUGCUGUCACAGGCAAAGCAGUUUGUAAUUUUUGAUAGCAGAACUUCCCCUCCUGUGGGUUGUCAAGACCCACCCCAAGCACCAGGCAGGGUGAACCUGUGGCAGGACUGGCAGUAGCAUCAGUCAGAAGUGUUCAGCAGUGAGAAAAAAUGUCAGCAAUGGACCACAAAACUUAAUUGAGCAGUUCUCCUUUUGGCCUUUGCACUCCAAUCCCCAGUGUGUUUGAUUUCCAAAAUCCACCAGAACCAAGUAAAAACACCUAUUUCUUUACAUGUGCUGUCCUGGAAUUUUUUCCUGGAGUUUCUUCGACUCAGCAGAAUUGAAGAAAAAUAUAGUUUUUAGCUCAAUAAAAUAUCCAGCACCCAGGCAAGAAAGGGGCAAAAAUGGUAAUUGAUACUUUUCUUCUUAGAUAUUUGUGUAGCACAUCACAACUAUGACACAGAGGCCACACCAAGUUACCCAGAUUUUCUGCAAAGAAAUGCAAAGAAUAUCUUGACAUCUCAGGUGAUUCUAUAACGACAGAAAAUCAACACAAUUCAUUUAUUUACAUGACUUGAUUGUCCUUUCUGCAAAUUUACAUGGUGUUCAAAUGCUAACAUUUGAGUUCCACAGAUUUUAAUAUGCUUUUACGUUUUUAUGUUUACCUGAUCAUUAAGUGAGCAUCUGURCUUCGUACUAUGGAAUAAAAUUUACUGAGUAAAUAAUACACAGUAGAGACACUAUUCAUGAAAGAAGUACAUUUUGAGUAUAGACUGGCAUUCAAAAAUGCAGAGCUCUGAUGGCUCCAUUGGUUUCAGUGGGAGUCUUGCUCUCAGACAGGCUAAACUSUGUCAGUGGCAGCCAACAGAGCAAUAACUAACUUGGCUUUUGAUAGAUGGUGGCUCUUGUUAGAUAGUUGGGUUAAUAAACUGUUUUGAAGGCCAUUUUUAUCCACUGUUACAUUGACAAAAACUUACAAUCAUUGAAACUGAAAAUCUGAGUUAGAAGAGAAUCCA
Malurus melanocephalus (red-backed fairy wren) is the source of this 5164-nucleotide long non-coding RNA. RefSeq lists it as uncharacterized. Lineage: Eukaryota; Metazoa; Chordata; Aves; Passeriformes; Maluridae. The transcript is spliced from 4 exons. The record is from RefSeq and is a predicted model, not a curated record.